Molecule: long non-coding RNA, 1431 nt
Organism: Patella vulgata (common limpet)
Lineage: Eukaryota; Metazoa; Mollusca; Gastropoda; Patellidae
Exons: 5
Source: RefSeq, a predicted model, not a curated record
AUGGUGGUCACGUGAUCGCGUGCCGACUAUGGGGAUUGGCAGCCAUUUUACAACCGGGAAGAUUUAGUCUACGUUGGCAUAUAUCAACAUGCCGGAGAGUUGUUGUUGUUUUGGUUAAUUCAAUGUCAGGCGAAAGGGGAGUGGAUUAUCAUUUCAUAAGGUUUUGGCGCAAAAUUCUGACCUUUAGGCUAACUCUUACUGUUUUCAACGGCGCCAGCUUCUUACUUAUAAUAUCUUUAUUGAGCUACAAUUUGUCUUUUAUUUUCUGAGGAGAUUUUCUGACCUGGUGGUUUUGAUUUUUGACUUGGUUUGGUGGAAGUGGUACCAUACAAUACCACACUAGUACUACUACUGUACUGACUGCUGUGUUAGAUUGAUCAUCGUAAUUGGUUUUAAAGACCUUUCCAGUACGCCACGGUAUUCAGUAUAAACUUAGGAAAUUAAAACAGAAGAAAAGUAUAGAAAAUAUUUCCAAUAUUAUCCAUCGUGAGAUCACAGAGAUUGAAUGCUGGUCUUGUGUUUAAUGUAUAAACAAAUUGGUGGAUAUUAUUAACAUUAACCUUUUGGCAAAGGUUAGCUUGAUGAUGUUACUGACUUUGCAGUGUGGUGGAAGAUGUUAACCUAACUAUGGUACGACAACAAGCCUAACCCUGAGGUCAACGAUGUACAAUAUUAUGUCAAUGUCACAGUUCCACUACCUAUAAACAAUACUUACCUACUUUGAUUGAAAUGAUGUCCAUUCCUACAUAAAAUUAGGGUAUAUGCAUUAUUCAUUACACAGGCACUUGAAGGGAUUAAAAUAAAACUUCUUACUACUGCUUAACUAUUUAUUAUAGUAUAUAAGAAGGUGUAUCAGCUCGCAUUGGAAUCUAAUUGAAGUCUGCUUGACAAUUUCUAAUACCCGGUAGAUAUCUUAUAUAGGACUCAGUAUAUCAUGCCUAACAGCGCGUGUUCAUAGCCCUGAACUUGUGUAAUUAAUAAUAUGAUUGGUUAAAUUAAACUCAAUGUCGCAAUCAGAAGAUCCCUAAAUAUUUAACCAUGUUAAUCAUGAAAUGAUCUAGUUUGUGUUUCUCUUGGCAGUGCGCUACUAUGGAAGACCCUGGGGACUUUGUUACACAAUUAUCUCCCACCACGCUGGAUGGGACGAAAAAACGCGGUCCCGUGUACAAAUUGGCAUGCACAUAAAAGAUCCCUUGACAGUUGGAAUUUGAUAUAGCGUAGUUAUUUGUCCACGUAAAAUUUCCCUCAUAGCCAUUUCAUUUCUCUCUUGGCAGUGCACUACUAAUACUAUGGAAGACCCUGGGGAUUUUGUUAGACAAUUAUCUCCCACCACGCCAGACACUUUUUAUAGGUUUCUUUUGUAUGUUUAUCUGCACUGUUGUAUUAAUGAACAGAGAUUAAAAGCCAUUCCAUUAUUGGAGCAGAAACAUG